This 497-nucleotide ribosomal RNA is filed under the name uncultured bacterium. RNAcentral's name for it is "partial 16S ribosomal RNA". It matches the Rfam family "Bacterial small subunit ribosomal RNA", at positions 28 to 507 of the family's 1533-position model. The record is from RNAcentral.
GAUGAACGCUGGCGGCGUGCCUAAUACAUGCAAGUCGAGCGAACAGACGAGGAGCUUGCUCCUCUGACGUUAGCGGCGGACGGGUGAGUAACACGUGGAUAACCUACCUAUAAGACUGGGAUAACUUCGGGAAACCGGAGCGAAUACCGGAUAAUAUAUUGAACCGCAUGGUUCAAUAGUGAAAGACGGUUUUGCUGUCACUUAUAGAUGGAUCCGCGCCGCCUUAGCUAGUUGGUAAGGUAGCGGCUUACCAAGGCAACGAUGCGUAUCCGACCUGAGAGGGUGAUCGGUCACACUGGAACUGGGACACGGUCCAGACUCCUACGGGAGGCAGCAGUAGGGAAUCUUCCGCAAUGGGCGAAAGCCUGACGGAGCAACGCCGCGUGAGUGAUGAAGGUCUUCGGAUCGUAAAACUCUGUUAUUAGGGAAGAACAAAUGUGUAAGUAACUAUGCACGUAUUGACGGUACCUAAUCAGAAAGCCACGGCUAACUACGUG